GACGAACGCUGGCGGCGUGCUUAACACAUGCAAGUCGAACGGAAAGGCCCUGCUUUUGUGGGGUGCUCGAGUGGCGAACGGGUGAGUAACACGUGAGUAACCUGCCCUUGACUUUGGGAUAACUUCAGGAAACUGGGGCUAAUACCGGAUAGGAGCUCCUGCUGCAUGGUGGGGGUUGGAAAGUUUCGGCGGUUGGGGAUGGACUCGCGGCUUAUCAGCUUGUUGGUGGGGUAGUGGCUUACCAAGGCUUUGACGGGUAGCCGGCCUGAGAGGGUGACCGGCCACAUUGGGACUGAGAUACGGCCCAGACUCCUACGGGAGGCAGCAGUGGGGAAUAUUGCACAAUGGGCGGAAGCCUGAUGCAGCAACGCCGCGUGCGGGAUGACGGCCUUCGGGUUGUAAACCGCUUUUGCCUGUGACGAAGCGUGAGUGACGGUAAUGGGUAAAGAAGCACCGGCUAACUACGUGCCAGCAGCCGCGGUGAUACGUAGGGUGCGAGCGUUGUCCGGAUUUAUUGGGCGUAAAGGGCUCGUAGGUGGUUGAUCGCGUCGGAAGUGUAAUCUUGGGGCUUAACCCUGAGCGUGCUUUCGAUACGGGUUGACUUGAGGAAGGUAGGGGAGAAUGGAAUUCCUGGUGGAGCGGUGGAAUGCGCAGAUAUCAGGAGGAACACCAGUGGCGAAGGCGGUUCUCUGGGCCUUUCCUGACGCUGAGGAGCGAAAGCGUGGGGAGCGAACAGGCUUAGAUACCCUGGUAGUCCACGCUGUAAACGGUGGGUACUAGGUGUGGGGUCCAUUCCACGGGUUCCGUGCCGUAGCUAACGCUUUAAGUACCCCGCCUGGGGAGUACGGCCGCAAGGCUAAAACUCAAAGGAAUUGACGGGGCCCCGCACAAGCGGCGGAGCAUGCGGAUUAAUUCGAUGCAACGCGUAGAACCUUACCUGGGUUUGACAUGGAUCGGGAGUGCUCAGAGAUGGGUGUGCCUCUUUUGGGGUCGGUUCACAGGUGGUGCAUGGCUGUCGUCAGCUCGUGUCGUGAGAUGUUGGGUUAAGUCCCGCAACGAGCGCAACCCUUGUUCACUGUUGCCAGCACGUUAUGGUGGGGACUCAGUGGAGACCGCCGGGGUCAACUCGGAGGAAGGUGGGGAUGACGUCAAGUCAUCAUGCCCCUUAUGUCCAGGGCUUCACGCAUGCUACAAUGGCUGGUACAGAGAGUGGCGAGCCUGUGAGGGUGAGCGAAUCUCGGAAAGCAGGUCUCAGUUCGGAUUGGGGUCUGCAACUCGACCUCAUGAAGUCGGAGUCGCUAGUAAUCGCAGAUCAGCAACGCUGCGGUGAAUACGUUCCCGGG
This 1343-nucleotide ribosomal RNA is filed under the name uncultured bacterium. RNAcentral's name for it is "16S ribosomal RNA". It matches the Rfam family "Bacterial small subunit ribosomal RNA", at positions 28 to 1378 of the family's 1533-position model. The record is from RNAcentral.